RNAcentral lists this non-coding RNA (61 nucleotides) under unclassified sequences. RNAcentral's name for it is "cow-rumen-1 RNA". It matches the Rfam family "cow-rumen-1 RNA". Rfam says of the family: cow rumen metagenome. The record is from Rfam by way of RNAcentral.
ACAGUGGCAUCCGAGUUAGAACUUAACGGUAUUAGCCCACCGCCCGACAUGGUCGAAGAGG